This 500-nucleotide ribosomal RNA is filed under the name uncultured bacterium. Its description in RNAcentral is "partial 16S ribosomal RNA". It matches the Rfam family "Bacterial small subunit ribosomal RNA", at positions 28 to 507 of the family's 1533-position model. The record is from RNAcentral.
GACGAACGCUGGCGGCGUGCCUAAUACAUGCAAGUCGAGCGGACUGAUUAAGAUCUUGCCUUUAUGACGUUAGGGGCGGGCGGGUGAGGAACACGUGGGUAACCUGUCCUGUAGAAUGGGAUAACACCGAGAACUCGGUUCUCACACAGGGCAAUAGCUGGGAUCACAUGAUCUUUGGUUAAAAGAUCUCUCCGGCUAUCACUACAGGAAGUGCCUGCGGCGUGUUGGCAAGUUGGUAAGGGAAUGGGUUACCAAGGUGGCGAGGCGUAGCGGUCGUGAGAGGGGGAGCGGCCACACAGGGACUGUGACACGGCCCAGACUCCUACGGGAGGCAGCAGUAGGGGAUCUACCGCAAUGGAGGAGAGUCUGUCGGAGCAACGCGGCGUGAGUGAUGAAGGGGUCCGGCUAGUAAAGCGCUGUUGUUAGGGAGGAAACAGUACGGAACGAACUAGGUCGGUACCUUGACGGUACCUAAACAGAAAGCCACGGCUAACUACGUG